AAAAAUUUAGUUAAUGUCUAUAACACUGGCUUGUCAAGCCAGAGUAAUUUAAAAAUUUGUAAUUUUUG
RNAcentral lists this transfer RNA (68 nucleotides) under Tetraleurodes acaciae (acacia whitefly). RNAcentral describes it as "tRNA-Asp". It matches the Rfam family "tRNA". Rfam says of the family: Transfer RNA (tRNA) molecules are approximately 80 nucleotides in length. Their secondary structure includes four short double-helical elements and three loops (D, anti-codon, and T loops). Lineage: Eukaryota; Metazoa; Arthropoda; Insecta; Hemiptera; Aleyrodidae. The record is from RNAcentral.